RNAcentral lists this long non-coding RNA (611 nucleotides) under Lotus japonicus. Its description in RNAcentral is "long non-coding RNA (LJAP_LNC001949)". Lineage: Eukaryota; Viridiplantae; Streptophyta; Magnoliopsida; Fabales; Fabaceae. The record is from RNAcentral.
GGGGUACCGGUAGAAAACUUUGAGGCUCAAGUUAGUAUCAGUGUGAGGGAAAGAUCCAUGAGUAUCAAUGCUUGAAUGAAAAACAUGUUUCGUAAAUGAACGAGAAAACUUGUAUUUAUAAGAUUGAAAUCCAUACUGGUUGUCUCUACAAGUGUGAAAGAAGUCCUUUAAGUGAGACUUUCGAGAAAGAGAUAGUCUUUGGUUGUCUCGCAUUGAGUUCUCUAUGCCUCAGUCCUUUGCUGACUGAUUGGUCAUGGCGAGUCGUUCAGCCUGUCAUUCGAGUGCUUAGGUGCACGUCUUUUGGUCAGUUGAGAGGUUGAAGGCUCGACGACUUCGUAGCUGGCCGGAAAGGAGCUCCCAACAUAGCCUGUCAAACUUUGGUAUGUCAAACUUAGGGCGUAAGUUGCUUGACCCUUUUGUUAUGGUCUUCAAUCUAUUUUCUUACCAUAACUCCUCAUUCCGUUCGGCCUCUUUACGGAAACAAAAUGAUAUCUAUUUUCACUAUUUGCUUUUCUUCUUUGAAUAAUCAAUCAUUGCCUCUUUAGGGGAGAAACCGUAAAGCCCAGUAUAUAACUUUCAGAGAGUAAACCGUAAACUCAUUCUUCCCCUUC